Herpailurus yagouaroundi (jaguarundi) is the source of this 2053-nucleotide long non-coding RNA. RefSeq lists it as uncharacterized. NCBI's taxonomy places the organism in Eukaryota, Metazoa, Chordata, Mammalia, Carnivora, Felidae. The transcript is spliced from 2 exons. The record is from RefSeq and is a predicted model, not a curated record.
UCGGUGUUGAGGUUGGCUGUGGAGGUAACAGGGCCCGUCGGCUUCCUGUUGCCCAAGGCCUGUGAAGAUAGGGGCGUCCUGGUCUUCACUUUUUACCACGUGAUGUUGGAAAAAGCCGUGGAGAACGCUUCAGCCUCCUUCCCUCCUUCGAAGGCCGUGGGAUGUGUCCACACCCGGUUCUGAGGAGGGGAGACGGGGGCCCCCACCACCGCACGGACGAGGCCGUGUGCCCAUUUUCCUACGGACUCAUGCGUGAGCCCCCAGCCGCCCUAACAGCCGUGGAAGGGGAGCAGACUAUCUCUACCUCAACAGCCUACACUCUGAGUGAACGAACGAUCGUCAUAGAUACAGAAGAACGAAGCGUGACAUUAUGUAAACCUGGGCUGGGCUCCUGCUUCCUGGAUGAUCCUCCCUGUUUCUUAUUUCGCCCACAUCUCCGUUUUCACACCUUUAAAUCAUGAGCAGCACUAGGCACUUGAAGGAGCCACACAUUUUUGGCAAAACCUGGCUGCUGAGGAGUCGGAGGGUUUCCAGGGAAGUUCUGUAACAUAAGGUGGUCACAGGGGAGUGAAAUGCCUGGACGCGGGCUUCCCGUGCCGGCCUGAGCAAGAGCGAGCUACAGGGCCCCGUCCUUGCACGUGGGCCGCCCCCUCGGGGUCUCACCCGGCCACUGACUUUUCGGUCUCAUGUUUUCUUCUGCGACUUGUGUCUGUGGCCCCGUGAGACAGGUGACGAUGGGCACCCUCUACAAGAGGAGGUCACGUCCACCGCUGGGACGGAAGGGCCACUCGAAGGGGCUCCCGGUUGGAUCACGGAUGAAUGGGAGCUGCUGGGGCGGCACCUGAGGUCAGGGAAGAGGGGAGAAUUACACACACGUGUAGAACAUGCACGUGGGGUCCGGGGCUCGGGCUCAGGGAGAGGCUCCCCAGGCAGGGAGGCAGGGUCUGGACACAGCUGGGCAUCUGCUAAGUGCAGACAAGGCCCUGAGGACACUCCUGCUGACACAUUGCUGACCGGGACACCUGGAUGAAAUGGUCUGGACGCUAAUGGAGCAACCUUGUCCACAGCUGUAAGAGUUCUCAAAUCUCGGAGCACAGACGCUCCCCGGAGCACCAGAGUGCCUCGCGGCUGACCGUGCCCGUUCAGAGAGGAUCACGGACCGCAAAAGCCAAGUACUUUCUCCAGGCUCGGCUAGCAGAGAGGAAAUGAAGCCCCACCCGGGAGCGACACCCUGCUCGCCCCCCACCCUGCGCCCCGGAGACGUCUUCCUGCCAGCACCUUCCCCCGUGGGGCCCCGGUGACGGCACGCACGGGCUGCCCAGCUCACCCUGCUCUGGCAGAACUUUCCAGGUAUUUUUGCAAGCACUCCACGGCGAUCGAUCAGACAAGGCACCGACUUUGGAGAUCAGAACCAAACCUUUCAGGAUGCGCGCUGACAAGGUCUGUACAUGAGAUAACAUCUCUUCGCUCGGGCUCCUGCUGGCCAAGUCGUGUCAUUACGUACGUUCAGGACAGGUUCCAGAGGCGCCCUCCUGAUGGCCCUGUCGCCUCCACUGUGCUCCUUCGUGCCCACCAGCAGUCCCACACACAGCGCCCCCACAGGGCAGGACCCUGGUCUCAUCUUUAAGGGCCCCAGAGGCCUUCAGCAUCUCCGUGACCAGGGGUGGCUUUCCACGCCCGGGAUGGCCCACGUCAGGUGCCGGGACACCUGCGCCCUCCCGGGGCUCGCCACGCCCAGGCCACACCCUCCACAUCUGUCGUCUUCUGCUGGUAGAAACGCACCUGUGUGUCUCCCUUUCAGUGUUGCCGUCUGUUCUCUCCACAAGUCAAAAUGUGUCGAAAGCCCCACGGUAAGCCCUUCCCAACCAGUAGUUAUCCUCAAGGACAGAGGGCCAAUCCCUACCUUCGGGGCAAGUUUUAAAUGAUGGAAUGCUUAUUAAGGGUACAGCGCAAGGCCCGACACGCAGCAGGUGUCCAACAGAUGGAGAUAGAAGCUGUUAUUUGUAGUGCUAACAUUAUCCUUAUAAUUAUAACUUACUGUUAUUAACCCUUG